AGCGGCUCCUCCCCGCCGCGGACAGCGCCGGCCGGGAGCUGAGGUGCGGGUUAAAGAGGCAAAGCUGCUGCCAUCUGCGGGUGCCGAGGUUUGUGUGCUCGUCACAGGGUCCCUUCUGGAGGUCAUCUGUCCCAGCAGCCCUGCCGAGGCAGGGUCACCUGGAGCAGGAACGCGUCCAGCUGAUGAUCAGAGCAGGAAAUGGUGCUCCAGGGCCUGAACUUAAGAGGUGCUGAGGAACCCCAUCUUCCCUGAAGUCACUGGGAGACACCGGUACUCAGUACCUGCCGGGCCAGACCCAAACCAUGCACAGACAGCACCCCCCAGACCUUAAAUCCUUUGGAUCCUGCAGUGCUCAGUCCUUGGUGCUGAUGUGAAUUCAGACUGAGUGAGAAAUCAGCUCCUAAAUUACACUUUCGCUCCUGAAACCGGACUAGAUUCCAACCACUUCUUGCCGGAAUUCACCCAAAGUGACUCAUCCCUUGCUCUAUCAAGCGGCAAUUGUUUGGAGGGAGAUUCAUCAUUCAGAAUUGAUUUUUAAGGCAGUUUUAUAAGUAUCUCCCCCCUUUUUUUUUUGUGUGUGUGAUGCAGCAAUGUUUGUCAGAGAUAUUUACAAUCUCACUCCUCCUCCUCCAAAAUCUUCCCACAUUCAAACUGUCAAGACUAAAUAAGCUUGAAACAAUCAUUUCUAUGAGCAAUCAUAAAAUUGAUGGUGUUUAGAUAGUAUUGGCUGCCAGUCUACCUAGGUGCUUGAGAUGGGAGCAGACUGACUUAGGAUGCUUAAAAUACUGAAAGCAUUUCAGCCUAACUGGGAAAGAGCUAACAGAAAAACACAGGUAUUUAACCACCUGAAUGAUGAUGCCAACAAAUGGUGUCUGAGUUUGUGGCUCUGUCUAGAAUAAGGGAAAAAGCUUUGGAAAGGGGCUGUUGGAACGCUGGCAGAAAAAUCUGUGGUUGAGUGGAGUGAUGCCUGCUCUGGCCUGGGUCUGUCCCAGCUCCCCUGGGCCUGGGAUGCAGCUGCUAAUCCUGGCCUAAGGAAAGGACCGGGCAGAGCGCUGCCGACUUCAGGCUGCAGGAGUGGAGGCAGAGUGCCUGACAUGGGGUGGAAAAACAACAGCAAGGGAGCGUGGAGACAAGCUCCUGAUCCUGCCUAACUAAGCCCUUGGUAAUGCUAAUGAAGAUUCCCUCAUUACAUCAGUCAUUGGUGCUGCUCCUCUCAAUUAGCCCUUUAGAAAGGGACUUGAUUAAGUUGCCUGAUUGUCCCCUGGCACCUGAGAUCCUGCCUGGGCCAGAGCUGUGCCUCUCCCCACGUCAGCUGCGGCAGACAUGGCAGAGGAUGCUGUAGGGUAUCUCAAGUGACAGUGGACACCCACAUUUAGGCAACUGAGUCGAGCCCUGUGCCCCUAAAGAAGGCCUGGCUUUUAUGCUCAAGUGUUAAGUUCUCUGUAAGGGGGAGGAGAAGAAUGGAGAAUUUAACUAGAACACUAAAGUUUGUAUCAGAAAAGGGUUUUUUUUUCCCAUUCCAGUAUGAUUCUACUGAGUUUUCUGAAAGCAAGUGGAGCCCAAUCUGUCUUCAGAAGAGGACAGAUCCCCUGCUGUGCUUCUGCCCUCACCCACCCAACCUCAGGGAGCUGUAGCAGCAAGGCCAGAGUGGUUUCAGCUUUCCAGAAACAAAGCAGGAACAGAGAUAAAAGCUCCACGGACUGAGAUCCAAUUGGAAACCUUCUGGAUCCCUGGGCUUGCUCACCCAGAAUAAAACCUUGAAAGUUUCACAACAUUCCAAAGAAAAAAAAAAAGAAACCCUGUGCAGCUAUUGAGAAUUGGAUUUCUUAAGACUUCUUUGAAGAAGAAAAUAAAUAGGGGAAAGAUGUAAUUAAAUUUUUCAGGGCCCAGUUCCGUUUUCCACAUUCUUUGCAUCAAUACAACCUCCUUGGCCUCUAAUGCCCUCCAGCCUCAUGUUAGCAAGAUGGGAAUUGGGGCUUCUGAUGGCCUGGAAUGUUUUCUUUAUGUGCACUACAGUUUUCGUUGUGGGAACUGACAAAAUCUCACUGCUACCAGAAACCCCAACUGGAUUCUCCUUCCAUAUUGUGCUCCAAAAUCCCCAUUCAGUGUUCCUCUCCCCCCCCACCGGCCCUGCUGUGGGGACAGUCACAGCAGGACCACGGAUGUGUCUCAGGAUACUCAGUUCUGUCUCAGCAUGGCUGGAUCAGUGGGUUGGGGUUUCUCAUCUACACGAAGCAAGGCCUCCAUCUCCAUGUGUGACACAGGUGAGCAACCCCACGGGCUCGGGGUGCCUCCACCUGGCCUGGUUGUGUCUGUGUGCAAACGCGCAUACAUUUCAUACAGCAAUCUGAAACUCAGGCAGAAAAGACACAGGAGCCUGGCUGAGACCCAUACAACUGUUAUAUUGGCGUCAGUCUAAAGAAAGCAAUGAUACAUUGCUUUGGAAAUUAUCAAGAAAUGUAAAAAAUGCAUUUGCCCUUUUUUUUUUUUUUGUUGUUGUUGUUGUCGUCGUAGUCACCGGGGCAGGGUUGUGAGUCAGAAAACAAAGCAGAAAUAGAUGCGGUUCUGUACAUGGCGCCUCUCUGGCUGUCCCUCCGUGCUGGGGUGUGGUGGGCAGGGCAAGAAAACAGGCGGGACCCCUGCGGUAGCAGCAGCAUCGACACCAUCAUCGUCCACAUGUCCAGCUGAAGAGGCAGACGAUGCACAAAAGGUCUGUGGACAAUGGAACUCCAGCUCUGGAUCGUGAGUUUGCUUUCCCAUCACGUCAGCCACACAGAAAUAGGGAAGAAAAAAAGAAAUGCACUCGAUGUGGCUGGCCCAGUACUGUCUGGACUAAUGAGCAGGAGUGAUACAGGGAGGAGGUUUGUUGUUUUAUAAGAAACGUCUUUAGUCUGCAGUGUCCUCUUGUGAGUCAGAGAUGCUCAGAGGCAAACAGCAGAUCGUUUUCCCCAUUUUUUCCUUCCACGCCACUUCUCAGCCAUGGGUUCCUUCAAAGCUUCCAUCCACAGCACAGUGAUUGUACCCACCAUCCACUCCCAUGCACAGGGAAACACUCCAGGAAUGAAACCUGCCCCCUCCUUCCCCCACUGUCCCCCAGACUCUGCCUCACUCGCAGGAGGCAGCAGCUCUUUGCUCAGGCCUGUCACAAUGUGCACAUUGGAAGUACCUCAAAUGAUAAAAGGAAAAAAAAAGAAAGCCACCCUCCCCAGAAAGAGAAAUUUGCACAGCUGGCACCAGCAAUUACUAAAUUUAACACCUGCACCUCAGACUGUAAAAGUCAUUUGCAUUCUCUGCUAGCCAAACAUUUUCCACUCUGCAGCACCUAUGGGGUCUUGCAGGAGAGAGCAGGGGUUUCCCCUGGCCAUUGUAGGCUCUGACCCCUGAGCAGUAGCAGCUUUCACAAAGAAUGCCUGGGGCACAAGGUCAUUUUCCUUCCCAUCCAGAAAAAUCCUAAAAGAUGGGCUGUCAAGCAUUGAAAAUGCUCAUUGUCACCACGAAUUGCUAUUUUUCAGGAAUAGUGAAGAACCCUUAUCUUCCAUUGGGAGGGUCAGAUGGACUUUGCAGUGAAAGGAAAUGAGUUAGGGAGCCCUUACACGGCAUUUUUCCCUUUUGAGUACCUUUGGAGCACAGCAGCAGCAGCAAACUCACAGGGAGACACAUGUGUGUGCCCAUCUCCAUACAGGCACCAGGGAUGAAAGGAUGAGACUGACCCCCAUCACCUGGUUACUUUCUCCAGGGAAGCCUUGAAUUAUGACUUUGACCACAGAUGCUUGUACAAAUGGAUUCCUAUUUCUCUAGUAUUUGGUUUUUUUCCCAAGGUAUCUUGAGCUGAUACUGGCCACUUCAAAAAGUACAGUCAAAAAUACCCUUUGCUAUUUCUCCUUCAUGCCCCAGAGAAUCGAGAAGAAAAACAAGAGCGUUACAAAAAUAAUGUAAUCAAUGUAUGCAGUGAAGGGUGUUCUCAGAUAUCUGCAGAAGUGCAAGUUUUGACUCAAAGUUUAGCUCUGAGUCAGAUCACACCUCAGAACCGAUCUGCGAGUUUGUGAAUCAUCCCGAGGAGGGAGAAAAACCAGCAGCAGUCUAGACAAAAACCAGUUGCAUAAAAUCUAACAAUACCUGCCUGUUUUUUCAGCCUCUCUCGAGGUUAGGGCCAACCAUCAGUGUGUGAGAGUUUCAGGAACUGUGGCUGGGACAUGCUGUGCUGCCAGGUGUUUUGUGACUUAGUACCUGACCCAUCCACUAAAGUCUGGGAAAAGGAUUGGAACACCAGGAACACCAAAACCUCACUUGGCACCUGCAUUCUUGACCAGACUGCAGCAAUUCUCCCAAAAAAAGAUCCACAGCUCUCUCCCUCUGCUUUCAGCCCAGACCAGGGUUAGAUAACUUUACUUUCCCAACUAUUCUGAUUCUUUCCUUUCUUAUCUCAGGAUCCUGCUAAAAUUGAAGGGGGUUCAGCUAUUUAAUAAAAUAAUUUUGAGGCCAGAUUUUUUUUCCCUUCCCCUUGCUGCUUCAAUUGCUGGUGCCAGCUGAACGUGAAGGAUGGAUCUGCCAAAUGGGCUUUGGGGGUCUUGCCACCCUUGAGUGGGACGAGACCUUUAGAGGAACUGAGCAAAAGGAAAGAAAACAAAGCCUGAAUAAAAUGUUCCCAGUCUCGGGAAGAAAGAUUCUCUACCGAUAAAAGUCAUCGUGCACGUUAAAAGGGAGUGAGGAAGAAGGAAAAUGAACACAAGAUAUGCAAAAUCAGUAACGUUCAACCUGUCAGUGGAUUGCAGAAUAGUUACUUACACCAGGUACACUUUGUUCAUCGUACAAAUUAAAAAAGGAAAAAAAAAAAAAAGUAAUGAAAUAGUACCCUUUCCCCAACCACACGUAAAAAAGCACUUAAAAGUUCAAAGGUAAAGCUUGGCACAUUCCAAAUACGAAAUGAUUCACUUGACAUGCAGCAAAAUAUACAAGAAGUGAUUCUUUUUUUUUCUUUUUUUUUUUAAA
Poecile atricapillus (Black-capped chickadee) is the source of this 4989-nucleotide long non-coding RNA. RefSeq lists it as uncharacterized. The transcript is spliced from 2 exons. The record is from RefSeq and is a predicted model, not a curated record. Lineage: Eukaryota; Metazoa; Chordata; Aves; Passeriformes; Paridae.